GCAGUCGAACGGCAGCACAGGAGAGCUUGCUCUCUGGGUGGCGAGUGGCGGACGGGUGAGGAAUACAUCGGAAUCUACUUUUUCGUGGGGGAUAACGUAGGGAAACUUACGCUAAUACCGCAUACGACCUUCGGGUGAAAGCAGGGGACCUUCGGGCCUUGCGCGAUUGAAUGAGCCGAUGUCGGAUUAGCUAGUUGGCGGGGUAAAGGCCCACCAAGGCGACGAUCCGUAGCUGGUCUGAGAGGAUGAUCAGCCACACUGGAACUGAGACACGGUCCAGACUCCUACGGGAGGCAGCAGUGGGGAAUAUUGGACAAUGGGCGCAAGCCUGAUCCAGCCAUACCGCGUGGGUGAAGAAGGCCUUCGGGUUGUAAAGCCCUUUUGUUGGGAAAGAAAACUUGCGGGUUAAUACCUUGCAAGUCUGACGGUACCCAAAGAAUAAGCACCGGCUAACUUCGUGCCAGCAGCCGCGGUAAUACGAAGGGUGCAAGCGUUACUCGGAAUUACUGGGCGUAAAGCGUGCGUAGGUGGUUGUUUAAGUCUGUUGUGAAAGCCCUGGGCUCAACCUGGGAACUGCAGUGGAAACUGGAUGACUAGAGUGUGGUAGAGGGUAGCGGAAUUCCCGGUGUAGCA
This 633-nucleotide ribosomal RNA is filed under the name bacterium 21-L049660-122-017-E03. RNAcentral describes it as "bacterial SSU rRNA". It matches the Rfam family "Bacterial small subunit ribosomal RNA", at positions 57 to 680 of the family's 1533-position model. The record is from RNAcentral.